CUCGUAGGUGGCCAACUAAGUCAGACGUGAAAUCCCUCGGCUUAACCGGGGAACUGCGUCUGAUACUGGAUGGCUUGAGUUCGGGAGAGGGAUGCGGAAUUCCAGGUGUAGCGGUGAAAUGCGUAGAUAUCUGGAGGAACACCGGUGGCGAAGGCGGCAUCCUGGACCGACACUGACGCUGAGGAGCGAAAGCCAGGGAGCAAACG
This 206-nucleotide ribosomal RNA is filed under the name uncultured bacterium. RNAcentral's name for it is "partial 16S ribosomal RNA". It matches the Rfam family "Bacterial small subunit ribosomal RNA", at positions 568 to 774 of the family's 1533-position model. The record is from RNAcentral.